This 2886-nucleotide ribosomal RNA is filed under the name Staphylococcus aureus. Its description in RNAcentral is "23S ribosomal RNA". It matches the Rfam family "Bacterial large subunit ribosomal RNA". The record is from RNAcentral. Lineage: Bacteria; Bacillati; Bacillota; Bacilli; Caryophanales; Staphylococcaceae.
ACGAUAUGCUUUGGGGAGCUGUAAGUAAGCUUUGAUCCAGAGAUUUCCGAAUGGGGAAACCCAGCAUGAGUUAUGUCAUGUUAUCGAUAUGUGAAUACAUAGCAUAUCAGAAGGCACACCCGGAGAACUGAAACAUCUUAGUACCCGGAGGAAGAGAAAGAAAAUUCGAUUCCCUUAGUAGCGGCGAGCGAAACGGGAAGAGCCCAAACCAACAAGCUUGCUUGUUGGGGUUGUAGGACACUCUAUACGGAGUUACAAAGGACGACAUUAGACGAAUCAUCUGGAAAGAUGAAUCAAAGAAGGUAAUAAUCCUGUAGUCGAAAAUGUUGUCUCUCUUGAGUGGAUCCUGAGUACGACGGAGCACGUGAAAUUCCGUCGGAAUCUGGGAGGACCAUCUCCUAAGGCUAAAUACUCUCUAGUGACCGAUAGUGAACCAGUACCGUGAGGGAAAGGUGAAAAGCACCCCGGAAGGGGAGUGAAAUAGAACCUGAAACCGUGUGCUUACAAGUAGUCAGAGCCCGUUAAUGGGUGAUGGCGUGCCUUUUGUAGAAUGAACCGGCGAGUUACGAUUUGAUGCAAGGUUAAGCAGUAAAUGUGGAGCCGUAGCGAAAGCGAGUCUGAAUAGGGCGUUUAGUAUUUGGUCGUAGACCCGAAACCAGGUGAUCUACCCUUGGUCAGGUUGAAGUUCAGGUAACACUGAAUGGAGGACCGAACCGACUUACGUUGAAAAGUGAGCGGAUGAACUGAGGGUAGCGGAGAAAUUCCAAUCGAACCUGGAGAUAGCUGGUUCUCUCCGAAAUAGCUUUAGGGCUAGCCUCAAGUGAUGAUUAUUGGAGGUAGAGCACUGUUUGGACGAGGGGCCCCUCUCGGGUUACCGAAUUCAGACAAACUCCGAAUGCCAAUUAAUUUAACUUGGGAGUCAGAACAUGGGUGAUAAGGUCCGUGUUCGAAAGGGAAACAGCCCAGACCACCAGCUAAGGUCCCAAAAUAUAUGUUAAGUGGAAAAGGAUGUGGCGUUGCCCAGACAACUAGGAUGUUGGCUUAGAAGCAGCCAUCAUUUAAAGAGUGCGUAAUAGCUCACUAGUCGAGUGACACUGCGCCGAAAAUGUACCGGGGCUAAACAUAUUACCGAAGCUGUGGAUUGUCCUUUGGACAAUGGUAGGAGAGCGUUCUAAGGGCGUUGAAGCAUGAUCGUAAGGACAUGUGGAGCGCUUAGAAGUGAGAAUGCCGGUGUGAGUAGCGAAAGACGGGUGAGAAUCCCGUCCACCGAUUGACUAAGGUUUCCAGAGGAAGGCUCGUCCGCUCUGGGUUAGUCGGGUCCUAAGCUGAGGCCGACAGGCGUAGGCGAUGGAUAACAGGUUGAUAUUCCUGUACCACCUAUAAUCGUUUUAAUCGAUGGGGGGACGCAGUAGGAUAGGCGAAGCGUGCGAUUGGAUUGCACGUCUAAGCAGUAAGGCUGAGUAUUAGGCAAAUCCGGUACUCGUUAAGGCUGAGCUGUGAUGGGGAGAAGACAUUGUGUCUUCGAGUCGUUGAUUUCACACUGCCGAGAAAAGCCUCUAGAUAGAAAAUAGGUGCCCGUACCGCAAACCGACACAGGUAGUCAAGAUGAGAAUUCUAAGGUGAGCGAGCGAACUCUCGUUAAGGAACUCGGCAAAAUGACCCCGUAACUUCGGGAGAAGGGGUGCUCUUUAGGGUUAACGCCCAGAAGAGCCGCAGUGAAUAGGCCCAAGCGACUGUUUAUCAAAAACACAGGUCUCUGCUAAACCGUAAGGUGAUGUAUAGGGGCUGACGCCUGCCCGGUGCUGGAAGGUUAAGAGGAGUGGUUAGCUUCUGCGAAGCUACGAAUCGAAGCCCCAGUAAACGGCGGCCGUAACUAUAACGGUCCUAAGGUAGCGAAAUUCCUUGUCGGGUAAGUUCCGACCCGCACGAAAGGCGUAACGAUUUGGGCACUGUCUCAACGAGAGACUCGGUGAAAUCAUAGUACCUGUGAAGAUGCAGGUUACCCGCGACAGGACGGAAAGACCCCGUGGAGCUUUACUGUAGCCUGAUAUUGAAAUUCGGCACAGCUUGUACAGGAUAGGUAGGAGCCUUUGAAACGUGAGCGCUAGCUUACGUGGAGGCGCUGGUGGGAUACUACCCUAGCUGUGUUGGCUUUCUAACCCGCACCACUUAUCGUGGUGGGAGACAGUGUCAGGCGGGCAGUUUGACUGGGGCGGUCGCCUCCUAAAAGGUAACGGAGGCGCUCAAAGGUUNNNNNNNNNNNNNNNNNNNNNNNNNNNNNNNCCUCAGAAUGGUUGGAAAUCAUUCAUAGAGUGUAAAGGCAUAAGGGAGCUUGACUGCGAGACCUACAAGUCGAGCAGGGUCGAAAGACGGACUUAGUGAUCCGGUGGUUCCGCAUGGAAGGGCCAUCGCUCAACGGAUAAAAGCUACCCCGGGGAUAACAGGCUUAUCUCCCCCAAGAGUUCACAUCGACGGGGAGGUUUGGCACCUCGAUGUCGGCUCAUCGCAUCCUGGGGCUGUAGUCGGUCCCAAGGGUUGGGCUGUUCGCCCAUUAAAGCGGUACGCGAGCUGGGUUCAGAACGUCGUGAGACAGUUCGGUCCCUAUCCGUCGUGGGCGUAGGAAAUUUGAGAGGAGCUGUCCUUAGUACGAGAGGACCGGGAUGGACAUACCUCUGGUGUACCAGUUGUCGUGCCAACGGCAUAGCUGGGUAGCUAUGUGUGGACGGGAUAAGUGCUGAAAGCAUCUAAGCAUGAAGCCCCCCUCAAGAUGAGAUUUCCCAACUUCGGUUAUAAGAUCCCUCAAAGAUGAUGAGGUUAAUAGGUUCGAGGUGGAAGCAUGGUGACAUGUGGAGCUGACGAAUACUAAUCGAUCGAAGACUUAAUCAA